GACGAACGCUGGCGGCGCGCCUAACACAUGCAAGUCGAACGAGCGAGAGAGAGCUUGCUUUCUCGAGCGAGUGGCGAACGGGUGAGUAACGCGUGAGGAACCUGCCUCAAAGAGGGGGACAACAGUUGGAAACGACUGCUAAUACCGCAUAAGCCCACAGGUCGGCAUCGACCAGAGGGAAAAGGAGCAAUCCGCUUUGAGAUGGCCUCGCGUCCGAUUAGCUAGUUGGUGAGGUAACGGCCCACCAAGGCAACGAUCGGUAGCCGGACUGAGAGGUUGAACGGCCACAUUGGGACUGAGACACGGCCCAGACUCCUACGGGAGGCAGCAGUGGGGAAUAUUGCACAAUGGGGGAAACCCUGAUGCAGCGACGCCGCGUGGAGGAAGAAGGUCUUCGGAUUGUAAACUCCUGUUGU
This 416-nucleotide ribosomal RNA is filed under the name uncultured bacterium. RNAcentral's name for it is "bacterial SSU rRNA". It matches the Rfam family "Bacterial small subunit ribosomal RNA", at positions 28 to 439 of the family's 1533-position model. The record is from RNAcentral.